RNA transcript from Cercocebus atys (sooty mangabey), 6826 nucleotides. It is a transcript of the gene named colony stimulating factor 1 (macrophage), with no coding region annotated. Lineage: Eukaryota; Metazoa; Chordata; Mammalia; Primates; Cercopithecidae. The transcript is spliced from 10 exons. The record is from RefSeq and is a predicted model, not a curated record.
AGUGCAGCGCAGAAGACAGAGGGUGACUGGGAAGACGCGCGAGCGGGGCCGGCCGGCCGGCGGGGGGGGGGGGGGGGGGGGGGGAGGCGGGGGAGGCGGCUGAGUGGGCCUCUGGAGUGUGUGUGUCUGUGUCAGUGCGCGCGCGUGUGUGUGUGUGUGUGUAUGUGUGUGUCUGGCGCCUGGCCAGGGUGAUUUCCCAUAAACCACAUGCCCCCACAGUCCUCUCAAAAGGCUGUGCCGAGAGCUGGCCAGUGAGGCUCGGCCCGGGGAAAGUGAAAGUUUGCCUGGGUCCUCUCGGCGCCAGAGCCGCUCUCCGCAUCCCGGGACAGCGGCGCGGCCCUCGGCCGGGGCGCCCACUCCGCAGCGGCCAGCGAGCGAGCGAGUAAGCGAGGGCGGCCGACGCGCCCGGCCGGGACCCAGCUGCCCGUAUGACCGCGCCGGGCGCCGCCGGGCGCUGCCCUCCCACGACAUGGCUGGGCUCCCUGCUGUUGUUGGUCUGUCUCCUGGCGAGCAGGAGUAUCACCGAGGAGGUGUCGGAGUACUGUAGCCACAUGAUUGGGAGUGGACACCUGCAGUCUCUGCAGCGGCUGAUUGACAGUCAGAUGGAGACCUCGUGCCAAAUUACCUUUGAGUUUGUAGACCAGGAACAGUUGAAAGAUCCGGUGUGCUACCUUAAGAAGGCAUUUCUCCUGGUACAAGACAUAAUGGAGGACACCAUGCGCUUCAGAGACAACACCCCCAAUGCCAUCGCCAUUGUGCAGCUGCAGGAACUCUCUUUGAGGCUGAAGAGCUGCUUCACCAAGGAUUAUGAAGAGCAUGACAAGGCCUGCGUCCGAACUUUCUAUGAGACACCUCUCCAGUUGCUGGAGAAGGUCAAGAAUGUCUUUAAUGAAACAAAGAAUCUUCUUGACAAGGACUGGAAUAUUUUCAGCAAGAACUGCAACAACAGCUUUGCUGAAUGCUCCGGCCAAGAUGUGGUGACCAAGCCUGAUUGCAACUGCCUGUACCCCAAAGCCAUCCCUAGCAGUGACCCGGCCUCUGUCUCCCCUCAUCAACCCCUCGCCCCCUCCAUGGCCCCUAUGGCUGGCUUGACCUGGGAUGACUCUGAGGGAACUGAGAGCAGCUCCCUCUUGCCUGGUGAGCAGCCCCUGCGCACAGUGGAUCCAGGCAGUGCCAAGCAGCGACCACCCAGGAGCACCUGCCAGAGCCUUGAGCCGCCAGAGACCCCGGUUGUCAAGGACAGCACCAUCGGUGGCUCACCACAGCCUCGCCCCUCUGUCGGGGCCUUCAACACCGGGAUGGAGGAUAUUCUUGAUUCGGCAAUGGGCACUAACUGGGCCCCAGAAGAAGCCUCUGGAGAGGCCAGUGAGAUUCCCGUGUCCCAAGGGACAGAGCUUUACCCCUCCAGGCCAGGAGGGGGCAGCAUGCAGACAGAGCCCGCCAAACCCAGCAACUUCCUCUCAGCAUCUUCUCCACUCCCUGCAUCAGCAAAGGGCCAACAGCUAGCAGAUGUAACCGGUACCGCUUUGCCCAGGGUGGGCCCCAUGAGGCCCACUGGCCAGGACUGGAAUCACACCCCCCAGAAGACAGACCAUCCAUCUGCCCUGCUGAGAGACCCCCCGGAGCCAGGCUCUCCCAGGACCUCACCACCACGCCCCCAAGGCCUCAGCAACCCCUCCACCCUCUCUGCUCAGCCACAGCUUUCCAGAAGCCACUCCUCGGGCAGCGUGCUGCCCCUUGGGGAGCUGGAGGGCAGGAGGAGCACCAGGGAUCGGAGGAGCCCCGCAGAGCCGGAAGGAGGACCAGCAAGUGAAGGGGCAGCUGGGCCCCUGGCCCGUUUUAACUCCGUUCCUUUGACUGACACAGGCCAUGAGAGGCAGCGCGAGGGAUCCUCCAGCCCGCAGCUCCAGGAGUCUGUCUUCCACCUGCUGGUGCCCAGUGUCAUCCUGGUCUUGCUGGCCGUCGGAGGCCUCUUGUUCUACAGGCGGAGGCGGCGGAGCCGUCAAGAGCCUCAGAGAGCGGAUUCUCCCUUGGAGCAGCCAGAAGGCAGCCCCCUGACUCAGGAUGAGGACAGACAGGUGGAACUGCCAGUGUAGAGGGAAUUCUAAGACCCCUCACCAUCCUGGACACACUCGUUUGUCAAUGUCCCUCUGAAAAUGUGGCGCCCAGCCCCGGACACAGUACUCCAGAUGUCUGACCAGCUCAGAGAGAGUACAGUGGGACUGUUACCUUCCUUGAUAUGGACAGUAUUCUUCUAUUUGUGCAGAUUAAGAUUGCAUUAGUUUUUUUCUUAACAACUGCAUCAUACUGUUGUCAUAUGUUGAGCUUGUGGUCUAUUAAAACCCCUAGUUCCGUUUCCCAUAAAACUCUGUCAAGCCAGACCAUCUCUACCCUGUACUUGGACAACUUAACUUUUUUAACCAAAGUGCAGUUUAUAUUCACCUUUGCUAAAGCCACCUUGUUGGUUUCUGCCAAUCACCUGAACCUAUUGAAGUUGUUUGAAAUCCUAAUUCUGUCGUCUCUGUAGCCCUCCCUUUUGUGGCUCCUGCACAUUGAUGAGUGCCUGUUGUUGUCCUUGCCCAUGUUGUUGAUGUAGCUGUGACCCUAUUGUUCCUCACCUCUGGCCCCCCCAACCCCAGCUGGCGCACGUCUUCCCCCUCCCACCCAAGCCCACAGCCAGCCCAUCAGGAAGCCUUCCUGGCUUCUCUACAACCUUCUGACUGCUUCUUUCAGUCAUGCCCCUCCUGCUCUUUUGUAUUUGGCUAAUAGUAUAUCAAUUUGCACUUAUUUGGAUGUUGUUUUCAUAUUUUUUAAAAUCUUAUUUUAUAUGUAUGUGUACAUUCCACAUCCCUAAGAUUGUAAGCCCCUUGAGGGCAGGAACUGUCUUCCACUUUUUUUGUGUUUCUUUUUCCAUCCUGGGUUCUACUACAGAGAGGGCCUCUCCACAUUUGCCAAACAUGAAAUAAAUAUUGACUGACUGGCUUCAGGGCUGACUCAUGGACUGACCCUGGCCAGCUGUCUCUAACUGACCAGCCUCUAGCUGACCAGUUAACCAGCUAACUGACUGACUCUGACUGACUGGCUGACCAGCUGGCUGGGUGAAUGACUAACCAACCAACUAUCUUGGUAACUGGCCAGCUGUUGCUUGGGGAGCCCAUUGAGCAACUGACUAGCUGAUUUCCUGACUAAUUGACUGGUUGGCUGACUAGCUGGGGUGGCCGAGUCAAGUUUCUAGUCACACUCUUUACCAAGUGCAAGCCAGCGCUGCAGGGCUCUCCCAUGUGUGGAGUGACAGGUCUGGGCCCCUUCUAGAGAGAUAGGGAAUUUGGCAAAUGCUCAAAACCAGGGAACCUAUUUAGACAAGAGCCAGCAGUAACAACAUAUCUAGAAUCCUGGGGUCUACCUUGUCAGUGGGGUGGGCUAAGAUGGGUGAGUGGGUCAACUGGGGCACUGGCGAGACUGUGAAAUGACCCAGGCCUCCUCAGAACUGGUGGCUGGUGGCUCAGUGCCACGACACCCUUCCCACUGGUCGCCUGUCCCCCAAGCCCCUUGCCGUGGUCUUGGCCCUCUGUCCCAUCCCUCUACAUGCCCACCCUCCUUUCCCCACUUGCUUAUUCUCAGGCCCGUCCCAAGCUUUCAGUUUCCUCCCUUCAAGAUUUCACUUGGAGAGGGAACCCGGGGCAAGGGGCUACAUCCAGAUCCCACUUGGCCCAGCAGGUCCAACCCUAAGGUGGUCUCCAGGCCAGGCACCAGUGGCCUUGGAGAGAUUGAGUGCCAGCCCCUAGACUGACUGCUGCUCUGAUGGAAGAAGUGAGAGAGGGAAACAUAGAGGCAGAGACUGAGAUAGGGACUCAGAGCCACAGAAAAUGCAGACACCAGCACCUCAGCCCUAAGCAGCUAGGAGAUGGGGCAGCAGGCUAGAACUUGCCCACUGGGUCCUUCUCCCCUCCUGGGCCUUAGCUGGGCCUGUGGCCUGGCUGUACCCAUCAUGGCUCAUGUCCAGUUUAUGGUUCCCCUUCUUUCCCUCUAGAGCAUGGGAAUGGGCAAGGAGCCAGAGGCUGUGGUUCCAUCUUCCCUCCUUACCCAGUAGGGCCUAUGGAUGUUAGGGAGGGAGGCUUCACACAAGGUCCAAAGUCAAACUGUUGGAUGGGGUCCAGGGGAUUUCUGCUCUGGGAACAAAGCGUCCUGAGGAUGCUGGGCAAGGGGACAAGGAUGGGGGUGGAGCAGGAGAGGGCAAGGCCUUGACUCCCAUGGAUGAUGCAGGAGGCAAGGCCCUCGGCCCAUCCAGGAGGGGCUGGGUUGCUUAGGGGUCAGCAUGCCAAAUGGCAGUGUGGGAAUUUCCUUGUCCCGGCACUACCUCUAGACUUUUCCUCUCUGGCCCAAGUUCUUCCUCUUCAGCUAGCUCUGCCCGACUGUCUUGAACAUCAUAUGUGAUGCCCUCUGAUGAAUGCUGUGGAGAUGGAAAUGAAAGAUUCUUCUUUGCUAGUGUUAGCAGAAAUCACCUUUUGUUCACUGGGCCAAGACCAAUGAGAUGACCUUGCCUGAGGAGGGGUCCAAAGACAUUCAAGUGCCCGCUUCGCUCCUCAUCAGAGCCCUCUGCUUGAGGAGUAACCCCUCUUCCCAGCCUUGACCAGACCUCUCCUGGGCCCUGUUAUCUUCCACUGAGGCCCUGAUUCCCCAGGAGGAGAUAGGAGCUGGACGCACAGGACAGUCUCUCCGUGGGAGGAGACAUUAUGGGGCGUCCACCACCACCCCUCCCCGGCCAUCCUCCUGGAAUGUGGUCUGCCCUCCACCAGAGGACCGGACCAGAGCAGCCAGGCUAGGGCCCCUCUGUCUCAACCCGCAGACCAUUGACUGAGAGAGGCCAGAGGAUGCUCCCCAUGCUGCCACUAUUUAUUGUGAGCCCUGGAGGCUCCCAUGUGCUUGAGGAAGGCCGGCGAGCCCGGCUCAGGACCCUCUUUCCUCAGGGGCUGCACCCUCCUCUCCCUCCCCUCCAUGCCAGCACCCAGGCCAGGGACCCAUCAGCCUGUGGUUUGUGGGAAAGUAGGGUGGACAUUGAGAAGUGAAAGAACCCUGCACCCAGAGGGCCCGCCUGGUGCCAAGGGAUCCCAGCCUGGACAGGCAUGGACCUGUCUCCAGAGAGAGGAGCCUGAAGUUCACAGGGCGGGACGGCGUCGGCUUGAUUUCCCGUAAAGGUGUCAGCCUGAGAGACGGGAAGAGGAGGCCUCUGGACCUGCUGGUCUGCACUGACAGCCUGAAGGGUCUACACCCUCAGCUCACCCAAGUGCCCUGUGCUGGUUGCCAGGCACAGAGGGGAGGCCAGCCCUGCCCUCAGGACCGGCCCGACCUGCCAGUGAGUGAUGCCAAGAGGGGGAUCAAGCACUGGCCUCUGCCUCUCCUCCUUCCAGCACCUGCCAGAGUUUUUCCGGGAGGCCAAGCAGAGGCUCCCCUCAUGAAGGAAGCCAUUGCACUGUGAACACUGUACCAGCCUGCUGAACAGCCUGCCCCCGUCCAUCCAUGAGCCAGCAUCCAUCCGUCCUCCACUCUCCAGCCUCUCCCCAGCCUCCUGCACUGAGCUGGCCUCACCAGUCGACUGAGGGAGCCCCUCAGCCCUGACCUUCUCCUGACCUGGCCUUUGACUCCCCGGGGUGGAGCGGGGUGGGAGAACCUCCUGGGCUGCCAGCCAGAGCCGGUCUUUAGGCUGUGUUGUUCGCCCAGGUUUCUGCAUCUUGCACUUUGACAUUCCCAAGAGGGAAGGAACUAGUGGGAGAGAGCCAGGGAGGGGAGGGCACAGACAGAGAGGCUGCAGGGCGAGCUCUGACUGAAGAUGGGCCUUUGAAAUAUAGGUAUGCCCCUGAGGUUGGGGGAGGGUCUGCACUCCCAAACCCCAGCCCAGUGUCCUUUCCCUGCUGCUGACAGGAACCUGGAGCUGAGCAGGUUAUCACUGUCAGGAGCCGUGGGCUGGGCUGCAUCUCAGCCCCACCUGCAUGGCACCCAGCUCCCAUCCACUUCUCACCCUUCUUUCCUCCUGACCUUGGUUGGCAGUGAUAACCUCCAUCACUCACCCACCCGUCUACCAUCACCUCUAACCAGGCAAGCCAGGGUGGAAGAGCAAUCAGGAGAGCCAGGCCUCAGCUUCCAAUGCUUGGAGGGCCUCCACUUCGUGGCCAGCCCGUGGUGGUGGCUCUGAGGCCUAGGUAACAGGCGACAGGGCUGCCAGUUGCCCCUGGGUUCCUUUGUGCUGCUGUGUGCCUCCUCUCCUGCUGCCCUGGGUCCUCCACUGAGAGACCCCACCCUGCCUGGCCACUGGGCUCGUGACUUUCUCUUCCUGCCCAGGAAAGUGAGGGUCUGCUGGCCCCACCUCCCCUGUCCUGAUGCUGACAGCUAAGGGAAGGGCAGUGAACUUGCAUAUGGGGCUUAGCCUUCUAGUCACAGCCUCUAUAUUUGAUGCUAGAAAACACAUAUUUUAAAAUGGAAGAAAAAAAAACAAAAAAAAAGGCAUUCCCCCUUCAUCCCCCUACCUUAAACAUAUAAUAUUUUAAAGGUCAAAAAAGCAAUCCAACCCACUGCAGAAGCUCUUUGUGAGCACUUGGUGGCAUCAGAGCAGGAGGAGCCCCAGAGCCGCCUCUGGUGUCCCCCCAGGCUACCUGCUCAGGAACCCCUUCUGUUCUCUGAGAAGUCGAGAGAGGACAUUGGCUCACGCACUGUGAGAUUUUGUUUUUAUACUUGGAAGUGGUGAAUUAUUUUAUAUAAAGUCAUUUAAAUAUCUAUUUAAAAGAUAGGAAGCUGCUUAUAUAUUUAAUAAUAAAAGAAGUGCACAAGCUGC